GGGGGCGCACAGGUUUCGACUGUGGUGUAAGGAACCUAAAGCGCAUGUCGAGGAGCUCAGGCCUCGUAAAAAAGAGCACCUAUUUAAAUGCCGAUGAAGCAUUACCAGUAGCAGCGUAAAACCUGUUACCGUCUCUUCCUGUCCCCCCCUGGGAUGGGGGGAAGACGUCAGACUUCAGGGGUAGCUGCGGAGCCUUUUUCUGGAGGGUUUCGCGGUGAAUCUUUUCCAGGAUAGGUUCUUGAUGGCUGCCUGAAGGCCAGAGAGAACCGAACCCUAAACUUCAGGACAAGCAUGUAGUGGUUUAGGCUACCUCUCUACAGGACGCGGGUUCGAUUCCCGCCGCCUCCACUA
RNAcentral lists this transfer-messenger RNA (351 nucleotides) under Spirochaetota. Its description in RNAcentral is "G020342115 sp020342115 Standard tmRNA". It matches the Rfam family "transfer-messenger RNA". From Rfam's summary of the family: Bacterial tmRNA, also known as 10Sa RNA or SsrA, is named for its dual tRNA and mRNA-like properties. The record is from RNAcentral. RNAcentral also lists the same sequence under 1 other name. Lineage: Bacteria; Pseudomonadati.